CCGCGCUAAGCGGGGAGAUGGCGAUGCCCUGUACCUGCGAUCGCCUAGCAGGGCCUAAUUCCCCGCCCGAGGCGUGAACCGGGUUUGGUUGAAACCGGUGCGGCCGGCGUUGAUAGCCUGGUCUCGGGCAAUGAGGCCCCGUGAAUCGUGUCAGGACCGGAAGGUAGCAGCACUAAGCGGGUAACUUUAUGUGCUAUCGGGGCAGCCGGGCAGGAGUCGGCGGCCGGAAGUUCGCCGGACGCGCAAGCGUCGACGGCGGGGUGCGCGG
This 268-nucleotide signal recognition particle RNA is filed under the name Rubrobacter sp. RNAcentral describes it as "signal recognition particle sRNA large type". It matches the Rfam family "Bacterial large signal recognition particle RNA". From Rfam's summary of the family: The signal recognition particle (SRP) is a universally conserved ribonucleoprotein involved in the co-translational targeting of proteins to membranes. Archaeal SRP consists of a 7S RNA and homologues of the eukaryotic SRP19 and SRP54 proteins. In most bacteria, the SRP consists of a 4.5S RNA and the Ffh protein (a homologue of the eukaryotic SRP54 protein). The record is from RNAcentral. Lineage: Bacteria; Bacillati; Actinomycetota; Rubrobacteria; Rubrobacterales; Rubrobacteraceae.